GAAUUCGCCCUUAGAGUUUGAUCCUGGCUCAGGACGAACGCUGGCGGCGUGCCUAAUACAUGCAAGUCGAGCGGAGAUUGCUUGGAAGGAUUUAUCUGGAAAAGCAAUUUUAGCGGCGGACGGGUGAGUAACGCGUGAGCAAUCUGGCCUUUACAGGGGGAUAACACAGGGAAACUUGUACUAAUACCGCAUAUUAUUAUUUAAUCGCAUGAUUGAGUGAUGAAAGUGGAAACACGGUAAAGGGGGAGCUCGCGUUCUAUUAGAUAGUUGGUGGGGUAACGGCCUACCAAGUCAACGAUAGAUAGCCGACUUGAGAGAGUGAACGGCCACACUGGAACUGAGACACGGUCCAGACUCCUACGGGAGGCAGCAGUGGGGAAUAUUGCACAAUGGAGGAAACUCUGAUGCAGCGACGCCGCGUGAGCGAAGAAGGCCUUCGGGUUGUAAAGCUCUGUCCUUGGUGAGGAUAAUGACGGUAGCCAAGGAGGAAGCCCCGGCUAACUACGUGCCAGCAGCCGCGGUAAUACGUAGGGGGCGAGCGUUGUCCGGAAUUAUUGGGCGUAAAGGGUACGUAGGCGGUUUUUAAAGUCAGCAGUUAAGGCGCGGGGCUCAACCCCGUAAAGCUGUGAAACUGAAAAACUUGAAAGAAGGAAAGAAGAGUGAAUUCCCAGUGGAGCGGGGGAAUGCAUAAAAAUAAGAAGGAAUACCGGGGGGAAAGGCCAAUUUUCUGGAAUUCAACUGACGCUGAGGUACAAAAGCGGGGGGGAGAAAAAG
This 774-nucleotide ribosomal RNA is filed under the name uncultured bacterium. Its description in RNAcentral is "bacterial SSU rRNA". It matches the Rfam family "Bacterial small subunit ribosomal RNA", at positions 1 to 775 of the family's 1533-position model. The record is from RNAcentral.